This 496-nucleotide ribosomal RNA is filed under the name uncultured bacterium. RNAcentral's name for it is "partial 16S ribosomal RNA". It matches the Rfam family "Bacterial small subunit ribosomal RNA", at positions 28 to 506 of the family's 1533-position model. The record is from RNAcentral.
GAUGAACGCUGGCGGCGUGCCUAAUACAUGCAAGUCGAGCGAACAGAUAAGGAGCUUGCUCCUUUGACGUUAGCGGCGGACGGGUGAGUAACACGUGGGUAACCUACCUAUAAGACUGGAAUAACUCCGGGAAACCGGGGCUAAUGCCGGAUAACAUUUAGAACCGCAUGGUUCUAAAGUGAAAGAUGGUUUUGCUAUCACUUAUAGAUGGACCCGCGCCGUAUUAGCUAGUUGGUAAGGUAACGGCUUACCAAGGCAACGAUACGUAGCCGACCUGAGAGGGUGAUCGGCCACACUGGAGCUGAGACACGGUCCAGACUCCUACGGGAGGCAGCAGUAGGGAAUCUUCCGCAAUGGGCGAAAGCCUGACGGAGCAACGCCGCGUGAGUGAUGAAGGUCUUCGGAUCGUAAAACUCUGUUAUUAGGGAAGAACAAAUGUGUAAGUAACGGUGCACGUCUUGACGGGACCGAAUCAGAAAGCCACGGCUAACUACGU